RNAcentral lists this unclassified non-coding RNA (240 nucleotides) under soil metagenome. RNAcentral's name for it is "partial contains 5.8S ribosomal RNA, internal transcribed spacer 2, and large subunit ribosomal RNA". The record is from RNAcentral.
AACCUUAUGGACCUGCGGGCGUAUACCUGCGGAGGGAUCAUUACCAAUUCAACGGUGUGGUCGCGGCCUCCGGGGGUUCCCCCCGGGCGGUAGAGGUAACACUCUCACGCGCCACAUGUCUGAAUCCUUUUUUUACGAGCACCUUUCGUUCUCCUUCGGUGGGGCAACCUGCCGCUGGAACUUAUCAAAACCUUUUUUGCAUCUAGCAUUACCUGUUCAGAUACAAACAAUCGUUACAAC